This 82-nucleotide non-coding RNA is filed under the name Rhodanobacter spathiphylli. RNAcentral's name for it is "Rhodanobacter sp. ZTP sequence". It matches the Rfam family "ZMP/ZTP riboswitch aptamer (pfl RNA motif)". Rfam says of the family: Previously known as pfl RNA. ZMP is also known as AICAR. Lineage: Bacteria; Pseudomonadati; Pseudomonadota; Gammaproteobacteria; Lysobacterales; Rhodanobacteraceae. The record is from RNAcentral. RNAcentral also lists the same sequence under 1 other name.
ACCCGUUCGCGCAACUGGCGCCUCGGAUGGAUCACCAUCGGGAAACGCGGACGACCACGAGCCGCGCGCCUGGGCACCCCCU